RNAcentral lists this transfer RNA (72 nucleotides) under Heterocephalus glaber (naked mole-rat). It matches the Rfam family "tRNA". Rfam says of the family: Transfer RNA (tRNA) molecules are approximately 80 nucleotides in length. Their secondary structure includes four short double-helical elements and three loops (D, anti-codon, and T loops). Further hydrogen bonds mediate the characteristic L-shaped molecular structure. tRNAs have two regions of fundamental functional importance: the anti-codon, which is responsible for specific mRNA codon recognition, and the 3' end, to which the tRNAs corresponding amino acid is attached (by aminoacyl-tRNA synthetases). tRNAs cope with the degeneracy of the genetic code in two manners: having more than one tRNA (with a specific anti-codon) for a particular amino acid; and 'wobble' base-pairing, i.e. permitting non-standard base-pairing at the 3rd anti-codon position. Lineage: Eukaryota; Metazoa; Chordata; Mammalia; Rodentia; Bathyergidae. The record is from Rfam by way of RNAcentral.
UGGGGUAUAGCUCAGGGAUAGAGCAUGUGCUUAGCAUGCAUGAGGCCCUGGUUUUGACUCCCAGUGCCACAA